UACGUAGGGGGCAAGCGUUGUCCGGAAUUAUUGGGCGUAAAGAGCGUGUAGGCGGCCAGAUAAGUCCGCUGUGAAAUCUCGAGGCUCAACUUCGAGCUGUCGGCGGAAACCAUUUGGCUAGAGUCCGGAAGAGGAAAGUGGAAUUCCUGGUGUAGCGGUGAAAUGCGUAGAUAUCUGGAGGAACACCGGUGGCGAAGGCGGCAUCCUGGACCAAUUCUGACGCUGAGGAGCGAAAGCCAGGGGAGCAAACGGG
This 253-nucleotide ribosomal RNA is filed under the name uncultured bacterium. RNAcentral's name for it is "partial 16S ribosomal RNA". It matches the Rfam family "Bacterial small subunit ribosomal RNA", at positions 524 to 776 of the family's 1533-position model. The record is from RNAcentral.